UCUUUUCUUUUGAUAGGAGAGUUUUUAAACCAGUGUUAUUUUUGUAAGUUUAAGAGAAGUUUGUGUAUUGAAUUUUUAAUAUUAAAGAGCUUUGUUAAACUUAGACUUAAGUUUAGGUCAUUUUGGGGGUUUAGCUCAGUUGGCUAGAGCAUCGGCUUUGCAAGCCGAGGGUCAAGGGUUCGAGUCCCUUAACCUCCAUUGGGCUUAUGUCCUAAAUUGUAAUUAAGUAUGUUUUUAAGCAACUUUAUUAAAGUAAUUGUUGGAAUGUGAAACAGAGGAAGUUAAAAUUUCUGGGUUAAGUUGAGAUCUGUUGAUAUUAAGAAGAAUCUCUAGAAGCAAAAGCAAGCUUUCGAUAAAACCCGAAGUUGUUUCGCUAAAGUGCAAGGAUUAAACAGGAUUGUAUUUUCCAGUAGCCUAUUUUAUAAACGAUCUGCAUUUAGUAAAUAGUUUUUAGUUAGGAAAUAAUGUAUAUUGCUAAGUGUGAUGUC
This 488-nucleotide unclassified non-coding RNA is filed under the name Borreliella burgdorferi (Lyme disease spirochete). Its description in RNAcentral is "partial 16S-23S ribosomal RNA intergenic spacer". The stretch from base 125 to 198 matches the Rfam family "tRNA". The record is from RNAcentral. Lineage: Bacteria; Pseudomonadati; Spirochaetota; Spirochaetia; Spirochaetales; Borreliaceae.